UAACACGUGGGUAACCUGCCCGGAAGUGGGGAAUACCUCGGGGAAACUCGAGCUAAUGCCGCAUAAAAUCUCCGGGACGAAAGUCCUGAUGAUCAAAGCGGGGUCGCAAGAUCUCGCGCUACCGGAUGGGCCCGCGCCUGAUUAGCUAGUUGGUGAGGUAACGGCUCACCAAGGCUUCGAUCAGUAACCGGCCUGAGAGGGCGAUCGGUCACACCGGAACUGAGACACGGUCCGG
RNAcentral lists this ribosomal RNA (235 nucleotides) under uncultured bacterium. RNAcentral's name for it is "partial 16S ribosomal RNA". It matches the Rfam family "Bacterial small subunit ribosomal RNA", at positions 111 to 334 of the family's 1533-position model. The record is from RNAcentral.